AGAGUUUGAUCCUGGCUCAGGACGAACGCUGGCGGCAUGCCUAAUACAUGCAAGUCGAGCGAACUGACGGAGGAACUUGUUCCUCUUGACGUGAGCGGCGGACGGGUGAGUAACACGUGGGAAACCUACCUUUCAGCGGGGGAUAACGUUCGGAAACGGACGCUAAUACCGCAUAACGUUAACAAUCGCAUGAUUGUUAAAUAAAAGACGGCUCUGCUGUCACUGAAAGAUGGACCCGCGGUGCAUUAGUUAGUUGGUAAGGUAACGGCUUACCAAGACGAUGAUGCAUAGCCGACCUGAGAGGGUGAUCGGCCACACUGGGACUGAGACACGGCCCAGACUCCUACGGGAGGCAGCAGUAGGGAAUCUUCCGCAAUGGACGCAAGUCUGACGGAGCAAUGCCGCGUGUAUGAAGAAGGUCUCCGGAUCGUAAAGUACUGUUAUCAGCCAAGAACAAUUCACAGAGUAACUGUUGUGGAUCUGACGGUAACUGAUCAGAAAGCCACGGCUAACUACGUGCCAGCAGCCGCGGUAAUACGUAGGUGGCAAGCGUUGUCCGGAUUUAUUGNGCGUAAAAGGGAGCGCAGGCGGUGACUUAAGUCUGAUGUGAAAGCCCACGGCUCAACCCGUGGAAGGUCAUUGAAAAACGGGGUCACUUGAAUGGAGCAAAGGAGAACGGAAUUCCCUGUGUAGCAAUGAAAUGCCUAAAAAUAUGGGAGGAACACCCGGUGGCAAAGGGCGGUUCUCGGG
Molecule: ribosomal RNA, 750 nt
Filed under: uncultured bacterium
Lineage: Bacteria
Description: bacterial SSU rRNA
Rfam family: Bacterial small subunit ribosomal RNA
Source: RNAcentral